Molecule: ribosomal RNA, 230 nt
Filed under: uncultured bacterium
Lineage: Bacteria
Description: partial 16S ribosomal RNA
Rfam family: Archaeal small subunit ribosomal RNA
Source: RNAcentral
AACCAGCACCUCAAGUGGUCAGGAUGAUUAUUGGGCCUAAAGCAUCCGUAGCUCGUUUUGUAAGUUUUCGGUUAAAUCCAUACGCUUAACGUAUGGGCUGCCGGGAAUACUGCAUAACUAGGGAGGUGGGGAGGUAGACGGUACUCGGUAGGAAGGGGUAAAAGUACCUUUCGUAUCUAUUGAUGACCACCUGUGGCGAAGGCGGUCUACCAGAACACGUUCGACGGUGA